GCUGGGCGCGGUGGCGGGCGCCUGUAAUCCCAGCUACUUAGGAGGCUGAGGCAGGAGAAUUGCUUGAACCCAGGAGGCAGAGGUUGCAGUGAGCCGAGAUCGCACCACUGUACUCCAGCCUGGGCGACAGAGCAAGAAUCUGUCUCGA
Molecule: unclassified non-coding RNA, 148 nt
Organism: Papio anubis (olive baboon)
Lineage: Eukaryota; Metazoa; Chordata; Mammalia; Primates; Cercopithecidae
Rfam family: Metazoan signal recognition particle RNA
About the family: The signal recognition particle (SRP) is a universally conserved ribonucleoprotein. It is involved in the co-translational targeting of proteins to membranes. The eukaryotic SRP consists of a 300-nucleotide 7S RNA and six proteins: SRPs 72, 68, 54, 19, 14, and 9.
Source: Ensembl